UCCUCAUUGCUCGGAGUGUCACUAGGGAUGGUUUCUUCCAUUCGUAUGUGGCGACUGGUGCACCUUCUUGGCUGCAAGAACUUUUUGGAAAUGAGGAACUCUUGCCCUCUGCCUAGUCUGUGUCCUUAGGUUUAGUUUUAGACUGACUGUUAGGCAUUUUUUGGAAGUCGGUUUUGGUGUUUCUUCGAGGUUGUGUCCCGGGUUUGAUUUGGGAGGCCUGUUGUUGUAAGUUGAUGACUUGAUUGGGUCUUGUUGUCUUUAGAUCGGAAAUUUGUAACUCGUUCCUUUUAUGAUGUUAAUAUAACGUAUCCUUCAGAUGAAAAAAAAAAAAGAUCUUUCUUAGGGUGUCCACGUCAGAUUCCAGCCUGGAAACAGAAUGCUUCCCGUGCCGCCACGUCAGCAGCUCUGCGUUUCAUUUAAAUGAGUAUUUUGUCGAUUUGGGCUUCGUUCACCGCGUUUCAUUAACUCUUCUGUGUAAUCGUUUGGACUUUUCUAUGUUUUGGACUUCGUCUAAAUUCAUUUUUCUGAGCAGUUGGGUUGAUCUUUCGGUCAAAUAGGACGUAAGUAAUGUUUCAAUUAAGGUUUCCCGUGUUGUUCUUCUUCUCCGCCUCUCAUGUUGCUUAAGCCUUCUCAAUCGAUCUCUCAUCUUCUUCCUCAGAGGCCGAAACGACACCAAUCUGUGUCUUUUUGUAUGGUUUUCUACUUACCGGCGAAAGAGAUCUGGAAACGUUACGAUGAUCGGUUGAGUCCAAGUGUCCUCUUUAACGCACACAUUAGCAACAACUCUUCACUCCUUUGACGAUUUGUGUUUCAAUGUACCUCUCAUCACUGCCAUAGUGUGAAUCCUCAACUAUAAAUAGGUAAGCCCAUUCCCUGGAAAUACAAAUGUUCUGGUUUGGAAUCAAAGCGCAAAACACACAUUUUGUUAAUAAUAUCUUGAGUUGUAUGCGCCUGUUGUGUUGUCGAGAUGAAGAAAUCCAUCUUCGAUUUCGUGAAUUUCUUGAACUGAUUUUUUUUUUUCUGAUUGCUCAUGCUAAAAUAUUGCUCCUUGAUUCAUUUUUACAUUGAAUAUGAGGAGCAUGAGAGUGUCUGAGAGCGAUAGAUUGUGAGAGAAGAGAGAACGACUGGUGCUAAUGAUGUCGGAGCUUCCUCGCUUUUGGAUUAUGUUUGGUGGAGACAGUGCUGGUGGAGAAGUUCAAGAAAGGUAUCCCGUCAUCUCUGUUUCUUCUUAUGCGCCUUAUUGGAUCUGGUCCACCUGAUUUGAGAUUAGCGUUUAGUCAAAGAUCUAUUAGGCUUCUUGAAUUGCAAGGUACAGUUUUAGUUUUGUGAGUUACUGUAGGUUUCAUUAUUUUUAAGUGGUUUUUGUGUGGAUGUUUAUGCUAUGUGAUUACCUAGCUAGGUGAGGACGAGCCAGAUGUUUGUAUUUGAAAGAUUCAUGAGUUUUUAUUUCUGAUGCUUCCAAGAUUGCAUAAGAGGUUCCAUUGUAAUAACAUUAUCUCAGAUAUUUAUGUUGAAUUGAACUUCUUAAA
Molecule: long non-coding RNA, 1529 nt
Organism: Raphanus sativus (radish)
Lineage: Eukaryota; Viridiplantae; Streptophyta; Magnoliopsida; Brassicales; Brassicaceae
Exons: 2
Source: RefSeq, a predicted model, not a curated record